Non-coding RNA from Leptidea sinapis, 73 nucleotides. Lineage: Eukaryota; Metazoa; Arthropoda; Insecta; Lepidoptera; Pieridae. The record is from the annotation of a RefSeq genome assembly.
GAACGGUUAGCUCAGUUGGCAGAGCACCGGCACUGAACGCCAGAGGUCGUGGGUUCGAGUCCCGCAUCGUUCA